AUGCUGAAUUAUACAACAGAGGCAUCUGCCAUUGUUUCAGAAGUUUUUUGUUUCUUGUUUUUUUUUUUUUUUAAUCCAACACAGAUUUACCUAGAAGGGAUGGAAGGAUCCUUUAUCAGUCUCCCACAACCACAUUACCAUGGAUCAAGUUCAUUAAUUUUGCAAAUUAUGAUCAAAGAUCAAAGCUUAGAAACUGAUCCUGAGGAAAUCCAGAACUGGAAGAUUUCUGCAGGACCCAGCAAACCGACAAUUUCGGCGCGAGGAGCUAACAAUGCGAAUGGGCUUUUUUCUCCCUUAAAAUUUCCCGACCGUCGGUGGACACGUAUUUGCUUGGAGAACCAGAAUUCCGUUCCGGGCGGUGAGGAGGCAGCCUCUCCUGCCCCAAGAGACGGCCACACGGUUUUGCGGAAUUUGACAGACGACCUCGAUCUUCGGGGAUUUUCCGAGCAGGACGCGGGCGCCGAAGAGGAGGGAAAGUGCAUACUGCCCAUGUGACGCACCUUCGCCUUCAGGUCCCAGAAGCGCAGUGCCGCUGCAGUCCUUGCCGAUCCUCCACCACUAGUUUUCCUCCCAAAGACCUGAUGAAAACCACCGAGUUCUGGGAGGCACGCUUCGAAAAUUGUUGGUUUUUCUUUUUUUAAAAAUCGGCUUUUACCAUUUUAUAAGUGUGCUGACAAUCUUUUCGGAGUCACCACUACUUACGGCUCACCCAUUUGCCAACCUUUCCCUACAGUUCAUUCCCGUGCUUUUCCAACCCUCCCAGGUUUGGUUCCACUCAAAGGAGAAAAGCGAGAGCAACAGUUUGGUCGCCCAUCAGCCCGUCCGUCUCCCGGGCACAAACGACCCGGGGCUUCGGCUCUCCGUCGGCCCGCAGGAGGACGCGCGUACGAGGGGCCGGCCCGGGACACCGGUCGCGGCCCGAGGGCCACCGGCCAAGGUUCCCUCGCCUGGCCCGGCCGCGGCGCGUAGCCUCCCCACAGGCCCGGGCGCCCGGCCGGGCGCAUGCGCGCGGCGCUCCCGGGCGUGCCGGCCACACUCCCCCCACCCACUCGGAGAGCUUGUCACUUCCUGCCCUCGCCCCAUCUCCGUCCGGGGUCAGUCAGUCGCUCCCUGUCGCUGCGGGAGUCUCUGCUUCCCCCUUCCUACCCGCUCCGCGGCGGUAGCUGAGGCUCUUCGGGGAGGGGGAGACGGAGAGAGAGAGAGAGACUGACUUAAUAAAGUUUCCUGAAACAACA
This 1235-nucleotide long non-coding RNA is filed under the name Felis catus (domestic cat). RNAcentral's name for it is "lncRNA (ENSFCAG00000052970.1)". The record is from RNAcentral. Lineage: Eukaryota; Metazoa; Chordata; Mammalia; Carnivora; Felidae.